AGAAAAGGUAAAUUUUUUUCUUGUCUAUGGACUUGGAAAAAUGUUAUAAAGUUGAUAAACUGCAGAUAAAAUACAAAUGAAAGAGCACACUUCUGAA
Non-coding RNA from Vicugna pacos (alpaca), 97 nucleotides. The record is from RefSeq and is a predicted model, not a curated record. NCBI's taxonomy places the organism in Eukaryota, Metazoa, Chordata, Mammalia, Artiodactyla, Camelidae.